UAACAGAGGUCUCGAGCGUUGUUCGGAUUCAUUGGGCGUAAAGGGUGCGUAGGUGGCGUGGUAAGUCUGGUGUGAAAUCCCGGGGCUCAACCCCGGAACUGCACUGGAUACUGCCAUGCUUGAGUACUGGAGAGGAGAUUGGAAUUUACGGUGUAGCAGUGAAAUGCGUAGAUAUCGUAAGGAAGACCAGUGGCGAAGGCGAAUCUCUGGACAGUUACUGACACUGAGGCACGAAGGCCAGGGGAGCAAACGGG
RNAcentral lists this ribosomal RNA (254 nucleotides) under uncultured bacterium. RNAcentral's name for it is "partial 16S ribosomal RNA". It matches the Rfam family "Bacterial small subunit ribosomal RNA", at positions 523 to 776 of the family's 1533-position model. The record is from RNAcentral.